UCCCUAGUGGCUUGAAUGGUAAAGCGUCUGUCUGCAAUGCAGGAGACCGGGUUCGAUCCCUGGGUUGGGAA
RNAcentral lists this transfer RNA (71 nucleotides) under Capra hircus (goat). It matches the Rfam family "tRNA". Rfam says of the family: Transfer RNA (tRNA) molecules are approximately 80 nucleotides in length. Their secondary structure includes four short double-helical elements and three loops (D, anti-codon, and T loops). RNAcentral also lists the same sequence under 1 other name. The record is from Rfam by way of RNAcentral. Lineage: Eukaryota; Metazoa; Chordata; Mammalia; Artiodactyla; Bovidae.